UGGGGCUAUGGCUCAGUGGUGGAGUGCUUGCCUAGCAUGUGUGAGGCACUGGGUUCGAUUCUCAGCACUAA
This 71-nucleotide transfer RNA is filed under the name Marmota monax (woodchuck). RNAcentral's name for it is "tRNA.Ala". The record is from RNAcentral. Lineage: Eukaryota; Metazoa; Chordata; Mammalia; Rodentia; Sciuridae.